Gallus gallus (chicken) is the source of this 1068-nucleotide long non-coding RNA. RefSeq lists it as uncharacterized. The record is from RefSeq and is a predicted model, not a curated record. The transcript is spliced from 3 exons. Lineage: Eukaryota; Metazoa; Chordata; Aves; Galliformes; Phasianidae.
CAGCAGGAAAUCAGCAGAGGCACCCUUUGCCUCGAGGGCUGACGAGCCCCUCCUGAUCAGCCCUCCUGAGAAAUGGAAACCUCUGCUCCAGCUCACUGAGCUAGCCCUUAUUCUCAAACUCUGCUGCGCCCUAAAUGCAGACUUCCUUAGAUGCCAGUCAAAGGCAACCUUUUAUUCAUCAGUUUGACACACCACGGGAUGGGUGUUAAGGAACAGAUACAGAUAGGAUUUCACCACAUUUGUUUAUAUUUAUAUUACGUGUGUGGCAGGGUUCCCCAGAAAUCUAACAAAUUCUAAGUGAGGGAAGAGGUGAUAAGAGGCUGGGGAGCUUUGGCAGGCUGCCGCUGUAAGCCAGCGUUUGCUGUGCAUAUGUCAUGUGUAGAUCCUGUGCAAAGGUCACAGCAAGCUAAACAUUACAAAUCCUAAAAGGUCUUUGCACAAUUAACAUUUGAAAAAUAAUAUGUAUUAUAUAAACUGCUAUGUUUUAAAGAGGCCAGGAAGAGGAGAAGGUAGCCUGCAGCCAGGAAUGUGCUAAUUAAAGUGUACAAUGGAAAUAUUAACCAAGUGACCUUAGGGGUGGGAAGGAAGGCAGGAGGAAGGGGAAAGACAUGACACAAUACCCUUAGCACUGUGUUAGGAUUCAGCACCAUGCGAAACAGGGCAGAUAGACAGGAAAACAGCAGUCCUGCCAUGUUGGCUGCAAAAAAAGCUGUCCUUACUAAGGCAAUGGCUCUGCCUGCACCUAAAAGCUGUGAAUAACAGGAUGACUCACUCUAAGCACCAGACAGUGCACCCUGAAGCUGGGGUCAGCAGAACACACGAGCCUGCAGCCUCGUGAGUCCUUGGAGACCCUGGAGAAGAUACUCACCAAAUGUGGUUUUAAUAGAUACUGUAAGGGUAAUACAGUGACCCUCAACUUAGCCACAGAGGCUGCUCAGGAGAGGCUAUCUCUAGGUGUGAGCUGAGGAAGCACCUGCCAACAGGCUGCUUUGGUCAGGAAAAUCCUCCGGCACAUUGGAUAUACCUACCUGAUCGGAAUGCUCAGAAGGCUUCACAGCAGACAACGAA